GACAGACAAGGCCAUGACUAACCUGGCCCUCGUGCGCCUAGACAAGGGAGACAAUCUGGAGGCGGAAAGGUUGCUGGAAGGAGCUGUCAGUCUCAGUACCGAGACACAGGCCGCCAUGAAGAGGCGAUGAGGGCGUGGCAGAAUGCAACCACAUCCAACCCC
This is a long non-coding RNA of Haliotis rufescens (red abalone), 162 nucleotides long. RefSeq lists it as uncharacterized. The record is from RefSeq and is a predicted model, not a curated record. The transcript is spliced from 2 exons. Lineage: Eukaryota; Metazoa; Mollusca; Gastropoda; Lepetellida; Haliotidae.